This 520-nucleotide ribosomal RNA is filed under the name Halomonas sp. M16-C20. Its description in RNAcentral is "bacterial SSU rRNA". It matches the Rfam family "Bacterial small subunit ribosomal RNA", at positions 1 to 516 of the family's 1533-position model. The record is from RNAcentral. Lineage: Bacteria; Pseudomonadati; Pseudomonadota; Gammaproteobacteria; Oceanospirillales; Halomonadaceae.
UUGAGCUUGAUCCUGGCUCAGAUUGAACGCUGGCGGCAGGCCUAACACAUGCAAGUCGAGCGGUAACAGGGGUAGCUUGCUACCCGCUGACGAGCGGCGGACGGGUGAGUAAUGCAUAGGAAUCUGCCCGGUAGUGGGGGAUAACCUGGGGAAACCCAGGCUAAUACCGCAUACGUCCUACGGGAGAAAGGGGGCUUCGGCUCCCGCUAUUGGAUGAGCCUAUGUCGGAUUAGCUAGUUGGUGAGGUAAUGGCUCACCAAGGCGACGAUCCGUAGCUGGUCUGAGAGGAUGAUCAGCCACAUCGGGACUGAGACACGGCCCGAACUCCUACGGGAGGCAGCAGUGGGGAAUAUUGGACAAUGGGCGGAAGCCUGAUCCAGCCAUGCCGCGUGUGUGAAGAAGGCCUUCGGGUUGUAAAGCACUUUCAGCGAGGAAGAACGCCUAGUGGUUAAUACCCAUUAGGAAAGACAUCACUCGCAGAAGAAGCACCGUGCUAGAUCUCACUGUCGCGCAGACAGCC